This 205-nucleotide ribosomal RNA is filed under the name uncultured bacterium. RNAcentral's name for it is "partial 16S ribosomal RNA". It matches the Rfam family "Bacterial small subunit ribosomal RNA", at positions 568 to 773 of the family's 1533-position model. The record is from RNAcentral.
UGCGUAGGUGGUUUCUUAAGUCAGAGGUGAAAGGCUACGGCUCAACCGUAGUAAGCCUUUGAAACUGGGAAACUUGAGUGCAGGAGAGGAGAGUGGAAUUCCUAGUGUAGCGGUGAAAUGCGUAGAUAUUAGGAGGAACACCAGUUGCGAAGGCGGCUCUCUGGACUGUAACUGACACUGAGGCACGAAAGCAUGGGUAGAAACA